Long non-coding RNA from Zonotrichia leucophrys gambelii, 435 nucleotides. RefSeq lists it as uncharacterized. The record is from RefSeq and is a predicted model, not a curated record. NCBI's taxonomy places the organism in Eukaryota, Metazoa, Chordata, Aves, Passeriformes, Passerellidae. The transcript is spliced from 3 exons.
GUUGGCUGCUGUGAGAAGGGUCAGUGCUUAGAGGAGCUGCCUACAAGAAACAUCAAGGAGUGAGCAGGUGCACAAGACAGGAGGGAGCAUGGCCAGGACAUGACCCAAACAGGCCAAAGGGAUACUCCAUACCAGAGAAUUUCAUGCCCCAUAUAUAAACUGGGGAAGUUGGCCAAACGAUGCCUGUCACCGCUUGGGGACAAGCAGGGCAUGAAAAGCAAGACUGAGCGUGGGGAGUGAGAGACAAGCAUGUUACUUAACUGCUUUCAUACAAUAGCAUGAAAGAAAACAGGAAUUAUUAAUUCUCUGGAUGAUGAUUAUUUCUUCCCUGUUGGAUCAAGUCCAUCUCUAUACAUGCUGACUUUUAUAUAGAAAAUAUGGAAAUCAAAUAAAAAGUGUGAGAUUCAGUUUUAGAUUAAAAUAUUUCACUUUAAA